Molecule: ribosomal RNA, 498 nt
Filed under: uncultured bacterium
Lineage: Bacteria
Description: partial 16S ribosomal RNA
Rfam family: Bacterial small subunit ribosomal RNA
Source: RNAcentral
AGCGAACGCUGGCGGCGUGCCUAACACAUGCAAGUCGAACGUGAAAAGGGAAACCUGUGUAAAGUGGCGUACGGGUGAGUAACGCGUAGGUAAUCUACCCCAGAAUCUGGAAUAACCUGCCGAAAGGCGGGCGAAUACUGGAUAGAGCGAGGGAACUCGUAAGAGAGUUUUUCGGGAAAGGGAGCCCGCCAGGGCCUUCGUUCUGAGAUGAGCCUGCGUCUGCUUAGCUAGUUGGUAAGGUAACGGCUUACCAAGGCGAUGAUGUGUAGCUGGGCUGAGAGGAAGGGUAGCCAAACUGGGAAUGGAACACGGUCCAGGCCUCUAAGGGGAGGAGCAAGGGGGGAACUUGCGCAAAGGGGGGAAAGCUUGCGCCAGCCCGCCGGGUGGGGGAAGAAAGCCCUCGGGGUGGUAAGCUCUGUCUGUUGGGACAAAAAACUUCAUGGUUAAUACCUAUCUGUACUGACGGUACCAUAAAAGUAAGCACCGGCUAACUCCGUG